GACGAACGCUGGCGGCGUGCUUAACACAUGCAACCCGAACCGUAAGGCCCUUCGGUGUACACGAGUGGCGAACGGGUGCGCAACACGUGGGUGAUUUGCCCUGCACUUCGGGAUAAGCCUGGGAAACUGGGUCUAAUACCGGACAGGACCACUGCCUGCAUCGGGGGUGGGGGACAGCUUUUGCGGUGUGGGAUGGGCUCGCUGCCUACCAGCUUGUUGGUGGGGGGGUGGCCUACCAAGGGGACUACGGGUAGAGGGCCUGAGAGGGUGACCGGGCACACUGGGACGGGGAUACGGCCAGGACUCCUACGGGAGGCAGCAGUGGGGAAUAUUGAACAAUGGGCGCAAGCCUGAUGCAGCGACGCCGCGUGAGGGAUGACGGCCUUCGGGUUGUAAACCUCUUUCAGCACCGACGAAGCGCAAGUGACGGUAGGUGCAGAAGAAGGACCGGCCAACUACGUGCCAGCCGCCGCAGUAA
Molecule: ribosomal RNA, 478 nt
Filed under: uncultured bacterium
Lineage: Bacteria
Description: partial 16S ribosomal RNA
Rfam family: Bacterial small subunit ribosomal RNA
Source: RNAcentral